This 301-nucleotide ribosomal RNA is filed under the name uncultured bacterium. Its description in RNAcentral is "partial 16S ribosomal RNA". It matches the Rfam family "Bacterial small subunit ribosomal RNA", at positions 509 to 807 of the family's 1533-position model. The record is from RNAcentral.
CAGCAGCCGCGGUAAUACGUAGGUGGCAAGCGUUGUCCGGAAUUAUUGGGCGUAAAGGGCUCGCAGGCGGUUUCUUAAGUCUGAUGUGAAAGCCCCCGGCUCGACCGGGGAGGGUCAUUGGAAACUGGGAAACUUGAGUGCAGAAGAGGAGAGUGGAAUUCCACGUGUAGCGGUGAAAUGCGUAGAGAUGUGGAGGAACACCAGUGGCGAAGGCGACUCUCUGGUCUGUAACUGACGCUGAGGAGCGAAAGCAUGGGGAGCGAACAGGAUUAGAUACCCCAGUAGUCCCUGUCUCUUAUAC